This 2841-nucleotide long non-coding RNA is filed under the name Olea europaea subsp. europaea. Lineage: Eukaryota; Viridiplantae; Streptophyta; Magnoliopsida; Lamiales; Oleaceae. The record is from RNAcentral.
AUUCCUCUCUGUGUGUGUGUGUGUGUUAAAACUUUAAUUUCCAUGUGCAUUUUUUUUUUAAAUCGUGAGUAAUUUUCUAAAAUUAGUACUUUCAGCUCCUAUAAUUUGGUAGAGUUUGUAUUGUGGGGCCUACGUGUAACAAAAUGAAUUGACCAUCAUCUCAUAAUUUAUGCUUGCAUAAUUUUAUUAUAAAGCAAAGUUUAAAAUCAACAUGUAUAUUCACCAAAUUAAAUUUCAACACCAAAUACUAAAUUAGGAUUGGGAAAAAUAUUCAAAUCAGGAAUUCACCUUCAAAUUGUUUUAUCGCUCGUCCAAUUUUUUUUUUUUUAAUCCAGAACGUUUUAUCAUUUUUCAAAGAUCACAUAUUGGUAGGAGUAUUCACUCGAGGAGGAAAAUUGAAAGGCGGAAAAAACAAUGUAGACAAAGAGUUAAAAGAAAGAGUAAUAACUUUAGCAGUGUACUGAAACACACUAAAUAGACACACAGUCGCCGAUCACUCUAUCAAUGUUUCAAUGCUCUAUCUCAAUCUACUUUCUUUCUUCAUAGUUAAAGCUAUAACUAAUUAAAUCUACAUUUGUUUUAGUUAAUUAGUUUCCUAAUAGGGAGGAAUUUAACAUUGUAUAUCUUCGUUUUAUUUUCUGGGUAUUAUCUAAUAUUAUGUCCAUUGCCAUUUUAUUUUCAUUAAACACAUAAAAAUGCAAUAAAUUAAAUGAUUUGGAUGUAUCUUGUACUUGAAUCAAAUUAUAAAGAAAAGAAUGCUAUCUGAAUCUAUUUCGUCAGCCAAGUAAUUAGAAGCCAUUUUAUUGUUAUUAUAAAUAGAAAAUAUGAAUAAAAAUGAAAUUCUAAUUAAUUAAGUUUUAUGAUAAGACAAUGUGUUAAAUAGAAAAUGGAAAUCUCCAUUGGAUUUCUUGAUAUAUUUUUGGGUUAGUAAAAUCAUUGAUAGCAUAGAGUGCCUCUUCGUAGAAAUACCUUAGUUUGUAGAUUAGUUGAUCUCUAAUUGUAGCUUGGAGACAUCUAAAGAAACCUCCUUAGUAAAAUUUAUUGAUAUCAAUUUUUUAAAUCAUUUUUAUCAGUCAAACAUUGAAGUACAAUAAAUGUUAAUGUUUUGUUUAUGAUGCCUUCUCCUAUGAUCUAUUUGCUUGGACUUAACUCUGUUUGUUUUUAUGUAGCGUCAGGGAUGUCAAUUGGGCUCGCCGGCUCGGGCAGCCCGUGGUUCGGCCCGGAAAAAAUCCGAGCCGACUUGGCUUGAGGCUCGGGUCAAUCCCCAUUUUAAGGUUUGCCCGUGCUUGAGCCUUUUUUGAAAAGAAAAAAAAAAAGAGAGAAAAAAGGCAGCGCUUGCUGCCUUAUUUUAACAAGUAAGGCAGCUGACUGCUACCUUAAGAAAGGCAGCAAUGCUAAUGUAUAAAAAAAAAAUGUGGAAAUUACAUAAAAUCCUACCUUUAAAAAUCUCAUUUCUUAAAUCAUAUGCUAAGUUUAUUUAUACAAAAAUCAGAUGAUAAUAUAAUUUUUAAAUAAUAAUAAUAAUAAUUUUAUAAAAAAAAUAAAUUGUAUUACAACUCCACGUCUCCACCACAACCCAUUCCAACUCAAACCCUACCCUGAAUCAUAUUUCAUUUCCCCCUAUUCGCAAUAUCCAUCCUCUCUGUCUAUCGCCGCCGUGAGAAGCACCUGUGAGAAAACCCACCAUCGAAAGCCACAACAGCAGCACCGUGAGAAGUCAUAGAAGCAACAUCCACACCGGGGCGAUGACUGCACUGUUGUAUUCAGCGUUGCUGCAGCAAUUGCGGGCGGCCCUGUGCUCAUCCCUUAGUGAUUUUGCGAUUUUUUUGUGGAUGGUGUUUGGUGGUGAAUGUGGUGUGGUGUGGUGUGGUGGUUGCGUGGUGGUGGCGAAUCUGAGCUGUUGGAUUCGUCAAAAUGGGUGGUGGCUAUGAUAGUUUUUUGCGACGUCUUAGAUUUGGUGAUGGUGACUACGACUUAGAUCUGGUGGUGGUGGUGGCGACGACUCUGUUGUGUUGUUGGUGGCUCUGUUCAGUGGUGGCUGUUCCGGUGACGGCGUUGCUCUAUUGUGGUGGUUAAUCUGUUGAUCUGUUGGGCUUGAUCAGUUUUGUCGUAAGGUAGUGGUGGUUGAUGUGGCGAAAGUGCUCUGUUGUGGUGGUGAGUCUGUUGGUGUACUGUGGUGUUGAUAGGUUGUCUUGAGGUGGUGGUGGCUCUGUUGGCGAAGGCUCUAUUGUGGUGGUGGCGGUAAUGGUGAUAGAGAUGGUCGAGACGGUGGUCGUGGAUGGGAUGAGAUGGGUUUGGAUGCUUGUGACCAUGGUGCGUGGCGGCGAUAAUUUGGGGCGAUUGUGGUGGUUGUGGACUGUGACUAUGACUUCCAAUUGUGGUGUUGGUGUGUGGACGUCACCAUGGUGGCGAUGAAAAUUGUAAUUAUGACCGUGACUCUCAAUUGGAUACAUGACCUGAAAAUUGUGUCUGUGACUCACAAUUGGAUACGUGAUCUAAAAAUUGUGAAUCGUAAGUGUUGGUAGUGGUCACAAAUUAUUUGGUUGAUUGUGACCAUUAAAUUGAUUAAUUUAUGACCAAUAAAUAAUAUGUGACCAAUGAAAAAGAUAAAUUGUAACCGAAAAAUAAUGUAUGACCUAAAAAAUUGUUAAUAGGUGAUUGAUAAUUUGAUAAUUUAUGACUGUAUAAUAAGCUGUGACUUGUAAUAUCUAUAAUUUGUGAACAAUAAAUGAAUCGUGACUUAGAAAUUUUUUGAUUUGUGACCGAUGAACAAACUAUAACCUAUAAAAUUUUUGAAUUGUGACCAUAAAAUAAUUUGUGACAUAAAAAUUCUGAUUUGUG